RNAcentral lists this ribosomal RNA (1698 nucleotides) under Liachirus melanospilos (carpet sole). RNAcentral's name for it is "16S ribosomal RNA". The stretch from base 85 to 1609 matches the Rfam family "Bacterial large subunit ribosomal RNA". The record is from RNAcentral. Lineage: Eukaryota; Metazoa; Chordata; Actinopteri; Pleuronectiformes; Soleidae.
UACUAACCAGCUAGCCCGAACCCUAAAACGCAACAACCCCAAAUAAAUAACCCCUAAUACAUCCAAACAAUAAAACUAAAUCAUUUUUUCCCUAAGUAUGGGAGACAGAAAAGGACACACGGAGCUAUAGAAAAAGUACCGCAAGGGAAAGCUGAAAAAGAGAUGAAAUAGAACAGCAACGUACCAAAAAGCAGAGACUAAACCUCGUACCUUUUGCAUCAUGAUCUAGCAAGUUCAAUUAAGCAAAGAGCUCUUUAGUUUAACACCCCGAAACUGAGUGAGCUACUCCAAGACAGCCUUUAGAAAGGGCAAACCCGUCUCUGUGGCAAAAGAGUGGGAAGAUCUUUGAGUAGGGGCGAUAAACCUACCGAACUCAGUUAUAGCUGGUUGCUUGAAAAAUGAAUAUAAGUUCAGCCCCUUAGCUUCUUAUCUCCUCCCACGUGUGGCAUAAAGAAAAAUAGAAACUAAGAGAGUUAGUCGAAGGGGGUACAGCCCCUUUGAAACAGAUACAACUUUUACAGGAGGGUAAGGAUCAUACUAAUAAAGGGAUAUGUACAACGUAGGCUUUAAAGCAGCCACCACCCACAAAAGCGUAACAGCUUAAACAACAAUCACACCCCCCAAUCUAGAUAAAACCUUCCAAACCCCCUAAUAAUAUCAAGCCGCCCCAUAAAUAUGGGAGAGACCAUGCUAGUAUGAGUAAUAAGAGAAACAUCCCUCUCUCCCAGUACACGUGUAAGCUGGUGUUACAACAAACCAACUAUUAACGGCCGCAAACCAUAGAGCGUAGUGAAGCCUAAAACAGAAUACAAGAAAGGACUUCAGCAAAUAACCGUUAACCCAACACAGGCGUACAAUAAGGGAAAGACUAAAAGGACAAAAAGGAACUCGGCAAAAUAAUUUCUUAGCCUCGCCUGUUUACCAAAAACAUCGCCUCUUGACUAAAUACAUAAGAGGUCCUGCCUGCCCAAUGACAUUACGUUAAAUGGCCGCGGUAUCUUAACCGUGCGAAGGUAGCGCAAUCACUUGUCUUUUAAAUGAAGACCUGUAUGAAUGGCAAGACGAGGGCUUAACUGUCUCCUUUACCCAGUCAAUGAAAUUGAUCUCCCCGUGCAGAAGCGAGGAUAAUAACAUAAGACGAGAAGACCCUGUGGAGCUUUAGACAAAUAACCGCCCAUAUUAAACACCCCCCGACAAGGGAAGAGAAAUAAUGAUGUCCGUUACACGUCUUCGGUUGGGGCGACCUUGGGGAAACACAAAACCCCCAAACAGAAGGAAGCACACAACCCACCCCCCACCCCGCUUCCAAAAGCUAGAGACUACAACUCUAACUAACAGAACUUCUGACUUUUCUUGACCCGGCCAUGCCGAUCAAUGAACCAAGUUACCCCAGGGAUAACAGCGCAAUCCCCUUAUAGAGCCCGUAUCAGCAAGGGGGUUUACGACCUCGAUGUUGGAUCAGGACAUCCUAAUGGUGCAGCCGCUAUUAAAGGUUCGUUUGUUCAACGAUUAAAGUCCUACGUGAUCUGAGUUCAGACCGGAGUAAUCCAGGUCAGUUUCUACCUAUGAUACUAUCUCUUUUAGUACGAAAGGACCAAAGAGAAGGGGCCAAUUUUAAAAACACGCCCCACACCCAAUUUAUGCAUUAAACUAAACUAAAUAAGGGAGAGUAACAAAAUUUACCAAAGAUAAUUGUAU